This is a small nucleolar RNA of Cryptomeria japonica (Japanese cedar), 73 nucleotides long. RefSeq annotates it as small nucleolar RNA snoR60. The transcript has a single exon. The record is from RefSeq and is a predicted model, not a curated record. NCBI's taxonomy places the organism in Eukaryota, Viridiplantae, Streptophyta, Pinopsida, Cupressales, Cupressaceae.
AAGCAAAUGAUGAAAUUUACUCGGAUUCCCCUUCAAUACUUGAAUGGAUGAUGAUAUACGAGUUUCUGAUGCU